UACGUAGGGGGCAAGCGUUGUCCGGAUUUACUGGGCGUAAAGAGCGCGUAGGCGGAAGCUUAAGUGUGGCCUGAAAGCCCCCGGCUCAACCGGGGAAGGUGGCUGCAAACUGGGCUUCUUGAGGGCGAUAGAGGAGGGUGGAAUUCCUGGUGUAGCGGUGAAAUGCGCAGAUAUCAGGAGGAACACCGGUGGCGAAGGCGGGUCUCUGGGCCGAUACUGACACUGAGGAGCGAAAGCGUGGGGAGCGAACAGG
Molecule: ribosomal RNA, 253 nt
Filed under: uncultured bacterium
Lineage: Bacteria
Description: partial 16S ribosomal RNA
Rfam family: Bacterial small subunit ribosomal RNA
Source: RNAcentral